AUACGGAGGAUCCGAGCGUUAUCCGGAUUUAUUGGGUUUAAAGGGAGCGUAGGUGGAUUGUUAAGUCAGUUGUGAAAGUUUGCGGCUCGACCGUAAAAUUGCAGUUGAAACUGGCAGUCUUGAGUACAGUAGAGGUGGGCGGAAUUCGUGGUGUAGCGGUGUAAUGCUUAGAUAUCACGAAGAACUCCGAUUGCGAAGGCAGCUCACUAGACUGUUACUGACACUGAUGCUCGAAAGUGUGGGUAUCAAACAGGAUUAGAUACCCUGGUAGUCCACACAGUAAACGAUGAAUACUCGCUGUUUGCGAUAUACAGUAAGCGGCCAAGCGAAAGCAUUAAGUAUUCCACCUGGGGAGUACGCCGGCAACGGUGAAACUCAAAUGAAUUGACGGGG
Molecule: ribosomal RNA, 393 nt
Filed under: uncultured bacterium
Lineage: Bacteria
Description: partial 16S ribosomal RNA
Rfam family: Bacterial small subunit ribosomal RNA
Source: RNAcentral